AGACCUGUUUCUGCAGUGCCCGCCCGGGUUGUCCCUGCUGGCACGUGAGGGUCAAGGUGGAGACGCUUCCUGGGCCUCUGCUGCUGGGAGGCAAGGUGAGAGAUGAUUUGCUCCGUUUCUGUCGGUGUGGUCUUGCCUGGGCAGCCUGRCGAUGCUCGUGGUGUUUGCUGCCGGCGGGUUGCGUUUUCCCACCGCCGUUGUGGUUGCACGAAGAAUGUAAUAGCGCUUCAGAAGGACAUGGCAAAAGAUGUAGCUCAUCUCCAGGAAAAGCCACAAUUUCUCCCAGGCUCAUACUGCCUAAGUAGCUCCGAGUAGAUGACCGCUUCAGAUGAUUACAGAGUUUCCCUGACCUGAGCCACUGACAGUUUUUUCUGCUGCUUCAUAUAGCGUAAGUUUUCUUAAAAAGUCUAUGGCUGGAAAUUUAUAUGUAUUUUGUAUUUAUACGUAUUCGUAUUUAGAUGUAUUUUGUAUAUACACAUACAAUUYCUGAUAACUCAUAAUGUUUCUAUUAAGUUCAAAGAAUUUGGCAUAUUAUGGGUAAAAUAGGAAACCAACUCAGAUUGUGAUUUUGUCUGUGUGYAGAAAAUUAAAUGCAAGAAUUUGAGAGAAUUUUAAGGUGUGCUCUCUAAAGCAUAAAGAAGUCACU
This 646-nucleotide long non-coding RNA is filed under the name Dromaius novaehollandiae (emu). RNAcentral describes it as "lncRNA (ENSDNVG00000009189.1)". Lineage: Eukaryota; Metazoa; Chordata; Aves; Casuariiformes; Dromaiidae. The record is from RNAcentral.